GAUGAAGAACGCAGCAAAAUGCGAUAAGUAAUGUGAAUUGCAGAAUUCAGUGAAUCAUCGAAUCUUUGAACGCACAUUGCGCGCGCCAGUAUUCUGGCGGGCAUGCCUGUUCGAGCGUCAUUUCAACCCUCAAGCACAGCUUGGUGUUGGGACUCGCGUUAAUUCGCGUUCCUCAAAUUGAUUGGCGGUCACGUCGAGCUUCCAUAGCGUAGUAGUAAAACCCUCGUUACUGGUAAUCGUCGCGGCCACGCCGUUAAACCCCAACUUCUGAAUGUUGACCUCGGAUCAGGUAGGAAUACCCGCUGAACUUAAGCAUAUCAAUAAGCGGAGGA
RNAcentral lists this unclassified non-coding RNA (332 nucleotides) under soil metagenome. Its description in RNAcentral is "partial contains 5.8S ribosomal RNA, internal transcribed spacer 2, and large subunit ribosomal RNA". The stretch from base 1 to 120 matches the Rfam family "5.8S ribosomal RNA", at positions 35 to 154 of the family's 154-position model. The record is from RNAcentral.